This 482-nucleotide ribosomal RNA is filed under the name uncultured bacterium. RNAcentral describes it as "bacterial SSU rRNA". It matches the Rfam family "Bacterial small subunit ribosomal RNA", at positions 10 to 507 of the family's 1533-position model. The record is from RNAcentral.
AGUUUGAUCAUGGCUCAGAAUCAACGCUGGCGGCGUGCCUCAGACAUGCAAGUCGAACGAUUAAAGCUCUCUUCGGAGAGUGUAUAGAGUGGCGCACGGGUGAGUAACACGUAAGUAAUCUACCCUCGAGUGGGGAAUAACAACCGGAAACGGUUGCUAAUACCGCAUAAUGCAGCGGCACCGCAAGGUGACAGUUGUUAAAGAUUUAUCGCUUGAGGAGGAGCUUGCGGCAGAUUAGCUAGUUGGUAGGGUAACGGCUUACCAAGGCUACGAUCUGUAACCGGUCUAAGAGGACGGUCGGUCACACUGACACUGAAUAACGGGUCAGACUCCUACGGGAGGCAGCAGUCGGAAUUUUGGGCAAUGGGCGAAAGCCCGACCCAGCAACGCCGCGUGAAGGAUGAAGUAUUUCGGUAUGUAAACUUCGAAAGAAUAGGAAGAAUUAAUGACGGUACUAUUUAUAAGGUCCGGCUAACUACGUG